UUUACCUACGGGGGGCAGCAGUAGGGAAUUUUCGGCAAUGGGCGAAAGCCUGACCGAGCAACGCCGCGUGAACGAAGAAGGUCUUCGGAUUGUAAACUGUUGUCGCAGGGGAAGAAGACAGUGACGGUACCCUGUGAGAAAGUCACGGCUAACUACGUGCCAGCAGCCGCGGUAAUACGUAGGUGACAAGCGUUGUCCGGAUUUACUGGGUGUAAAGGGCGCGUAGGCGGGAUAGCAAGUCAGUCGUGAAAUGCCGAGGCUUAACCUCGGAGCUGCGAUUGAAACUGUUAUUCUUGAGUAUCGGG
RNAcentral lists this ribosomal RNA (305 nucleotides) under uncultured bacterium. RNAcentral describes it as "bacterial SSU rRNA". It matches the Rfam family "Bacterial small subunit ribosomal RNA", at positions 334 to 653 of the family's 1533-position model. The record is from RNAcentral.